RNAcentral lists this long non-coding RNA (8157 nucleotides) under Zea mays. Its description in RNAcentral is "long non-coding RNA (ZMAY_LNC002342)". The record is from RNAcentral. Lineage: Eukaryota; Viridiplantae; Streptophyta; Magnoliopsida; Poales; Poaceae.
GCAGUAAGAUCCCACUAUUGCUCCAAAUGAAAAUAUUCUUGCAGGUAGAAGCCAUCCUCUCCCGGGUUAGACUGAGGACAACCUCUAUCCACAAGGUCUAAGCAAGGCUAAGCAUUUUUGUAAAUCAUAUUUUGAUACUUCACAGAAGUAUCUAUAAAGGUAUGGAUAUCAAGGAAAGCAAUGCAUUAAAGGGUUCCAAGCAACUCCUAUGAACCUAAUGCACAUUUCACUAGACUUAAAGUGUGCGAAAAGUAUUUAAAACACAAGGAAAGGGGUUGCAUGCACCGGGGCUUGCCUUUGUUCACAGGUGAGUCAGGCUCGGAUCCGCAGAUGUCGAAGUAGAGCCAAGUCCCUGCCUGAGAUUCCAAAGGUGGUGGUGUCUUCUCUUCAGUCACUUUACUCUCUUCUUCGUUUUCUAAAUAUAACCAUAUAGGUAUAUAUAUAAGAAUGAAUGCCAUGUAAUGCUUAUGAGAGUGCAUAGAUAAUAAAGGUUUAUUAACUAAGUUUUGAAUACAACAUUCCUUCACGGAACUCCGAGAACUUAGGGUUUCCGGAGUUAGUAAAGGAGUUCAAAGGGUAGGGGGUAGGGUUUUGGGUUCUAGUUAUCAAACAAGGUCCAAAUCAAACCAAAUCCUACCCAAGGCUUCUAAAUAUUAUUUUAAGCUCAUAUAAAAAGUUUGGGCAUUUUUGGAAUUAUUAUUGAUUUUCUAAAAAUCAAGACACAAGGUUUUAGGCUAUUUUAAAUACUCCAAAAUUCCCUAUUUGAUCUAAAAAUCAUAAAACUAUUUUUAUUAAAUUCUAUGGAAAAUUAGGAAUCUGACAAAAUUGGUUUGACAUUUUUACCAUUUUUCAGAAAUUUUCUAUGGAUUUCUAAAGCUGAUUGGAAAAAGAAAAGGAAAAACUACUAACAGUGUUGGGCCCAAACCGCUGGUGUGGUCCAACAACCAGGCAAAGCUGGCCCAAACCCGGGAGCCCGCGCCCGCUUUGGCCAGCUUGCACAAAGGACCUUGCGCUCUGGUUAAAACAAUCAGAGCUCCCAGCCACUGUUGCUUGUGUCUCUGACAUCCUCGCUAAAACCCCUUGGCUUCCACUUAUUUACAAGCACUCGGCCCCGACAUCGCCCGUACGAACUCCGGCGACCCAGCGCCAGCUCGGCCAUGGUGGCGCAACACCGGCGACGGCGAUGGUACCCACGCGAACCCCGAAUCGCAGUGAACUCGGGUAUGGGCUCAAUCGAUCCAUGAGAACUCCACAACCCAUUUAUCGGCAGCGACGGCGGAGCACUGGAUCCGACGAACUCUAUUCCCCGAUCACCGCACGGUAGUGUUCAAACAAACGGGCCAGGGAGCUUUAGAGACCACUUAAGUCUACGGUGCGCGCGCGCAAUCGCUCGGGAAUGGCGCGGUUAAUACGGUCCACACCGAGGCUGUCCUCGGCGCCCGACCGCGACGGCGCGACCGUGUUCUACUCAACGUAUGGCGGUAGAGCUUGAACAAACCACUUGAUCAGCUUCACUGACCAAUACAGAUCAUGGAACACAAGCCACACGGGUGAGAAACUUUCUGAGCAUACCUGGCCACGGUAAAGUGGAAGAUCUGCAGGUGUGGUCACCAGACACAUUCAGUGCCUUGAUCGAUGGAAUUGGGCGCGUCCAGGGUAUGAUUUGGGGAAGGAAGAGCAAUACUGCUGACUGAAGCUACUCACUAUGGUUGAUGAUCGAGGCACGGAUCACUGCACUGGCUUCUGCUUUCUUUCCCUCACCCUGUUGCUCUUUAUAUAGGCAGGGAAAAGAUCAAGGGACUGGAUUCUUGAGUUUACAGGGGGGAUAACUAUGUGCAUGGGGUGCAGUCGUGGCUUACUCAAGGAAGCCCACGCCGGUGCUGCAGGGUGAAGAUUAUCCAGGGCAAGGGAGGGAGGUGAAGAUAGGAUGGCACUGUUCUGGAUAUUUGCACAGGUGAUAUUUCAGUGAUGAACAAAUCUGAAUACCCCUGCCAACACUCCAUCCCAAUCUUCAUCCUAUUCCAAAGUUGGUCACGGCAAGAAAAACUGAACUUGGUCACUUCUAGCAGCCAAAUAUCUGAUUUGUCCCUUUCUGUAGACAGUAAACCAACAGAUAAGAAUUCUAGUGUGUGCAGACUUAAAUGGAUCCAAACUGAUAUUUCUAAAGGGAUGAAGCCACUAGAACUGCUGCUGUCCAGCAUACCCCAUUAAAGAUUCAUUAGAUGAGGACCCCCUCUCAUUCACUGCUCACAAAAUAGGUCAAAAUUUGGAUAUUUUUUUAGUAGAUCUGAGGCCACUAGAUCCCUGGCUCUGGACUUCGACCUUAUCUCUACCCAAACAUCCAAAGAAACCAGCAGGGAGAGGAGAUAAUCUUCUUCAGAAACUGUCUUCAGUCCUAAACGAAUUACUGUUGCUUAGCUGGACUGACAGGGGCCUUUCAAGGUCAUUCCCUUACAUUUUCCAUGUAGCAACACCUUAAUUUAAUCAUAGGAAACUUGCUCAUUGACUAUAGCUCUUCAACCCACUACAGCAUUCCACUGCUAGAAACACAUGGAUCACAAACUAUAAGGUUCCAAAGCCAAGCACACACUCUGAAACUCUUCUUCAGAGAGCUGAACCCAAAUGCAACCCUUUAAGUCUGACAAGGCAUAUUAGAGAGCAUUUUACUCACAAUUCCAUAUGACAACAGACCCAUCUCCCUUAACAAGCCUUAUUCUCCAACCAUAGGUAUUCCACUUUGGUACAACACUCCAAAGCUGAAACUACUCAGAAUUGAAGUUGUGGUGUUCCAAAUUAUAGCAGAAACAGCCAAACACUUGGUCUCAGCUUAACUGAACAGCCCUCACUAUUUCUGACAGAGGACUUUGCAGCUCCAUUCUCUCUCCAUCUUUACAUAACAACAGGACCAUCUCCUUGCAUGAAACUUGUCCAUCUAUAUCUGUUCUCCAACUUUGCUAUAGAAACUAUAGUCUAAAACCACUCAUAUUUAUCACAAAACAGCUCCAAAUUAAGCAUCAUAUACUGAAAUUCAGGUUUCAGAGACUGAACCCAAAGCAGUUGGAACCAGCCUGACAGUCCAAUUUUGAGCCACUUUUACUCCUUUUUCUGUGUAGCACCAAACCAAACUCACUUAAAGAAAUUUGUUCUCCUAUAUAUGGUCUUCCAUUUUGAUAUACAACUCUUGGUCUAAAACCAUAUAUAUUAAUCACAACUGAGCUCCAAAUAGAGCAUCAUUGGCUGUUUUUCAGAGUUUCAGCUCUGAACCACUAAGUCACCAAUCUGAAAAUUCAGAAACACAGCAGCACCACUUUAAACCACUCUUUUGCCUGGCUUUCAAAUGUUUAUAGGGGACAAUUGCUUAAUAAAGUUUAUACUCCUAUAGUUCCUCUACAAGUUUGGUAUAGUGAUCAAUAACCAAAACCUCUUGGAUUCCAAACUACAAUAGCCCAAAGUUUGCUCCAAUUGAUGAAAUUCAGAAUCUGAAUUUCACUAAGUCUGAAAUCCACAAUUUUUGACAGCUUUACUUUGGACCAGUUUUACUCAAAGUUCCAAAUAGUUUUAGAGCUAUAUGACUUCACCAAACUUAUACUCCUCAUAUAGCUCUAUAACUUUGUUAUAAUGAUCAUCUUCAAAAUGGUUCUAGAUCAAAAGUUACAAAGGACUAAAAUUGCCUAGUUGCUGCGAUUUUCAGGAACUCCAAAACUAAACCUUUGUGAAUUUCUCCAUUCUUUUAAAGAAAAGUUACUCCUUAGUCUCAAAUCCAACUUUGGUAUAUAUAACUCAGAUCCAAAGUAUCCUUGGUUUAGGAGUUGUUUGCUUACACAUAAUUGCAAACAAACUUUCAACCCUCACAUUAAGGUUUCUAAGUUGACCCUUCAGCUCAAGUGUUCCUUCCACUUGAUCUCCCUUUGAAAACAAAGUUGCUCUAGGUCCUAAGUCUUACCUUUAAUACUUUAAAUUCCAAGCCAACUUAUUACUUGCUCAAGAGACGACUUUUCUUCCCAUGUCUUAAGCAAAGUUCUUAAUCUGAGUCCUGUACUCUAAUACACAACACCACAUUCAUUGAAUUUUUUUGACCUAGUGAAUGCAUUCUAGGUAUAUCAAACAAGAUAAUGCAAAUGCUUAUGAUGACAUGUCAGAGUUUUAGUUAAUGUAACACCAGGGGUGUUACAGUCUUCCCCCCUAAAAAGAAAUCUCGUCCCGAGAUUUAAAAGUCUAGGCUUAGUAAUGGAAAAGGAAACGUGUCACUGACUUAUUUCCUAAUUUCUCUUACAAGGUAGGGGAGGUGUUCUGUUUCACUUAACCACGAUGUUGUUCAACACCUCUAAGGCAGUUACCUGAGCUCCUUCCCAAGGAGCCAUUCCUUUAGCAUGGAACAUCCAAUGUGGCCAAGAUGGUUUUCUAGCACGUUCUGGAAUACGCACUACUACUCAUACCAUGGUUGUCCUCUAAGAAUAGUGCGUGACAGCAUUUCUCUAAGGGGAAAUCUUUUAUUAGCAUAGUUCUUAGAAAGAUGCAUGUAUAAUUACAGAAUCAACCUUAGUUGAUUCAACCUUCUAUACAUUGCACUCUUUCUAUCUGGUCUUUAAGAUAGACUCUUCAGAAUACUUAGGUAAGAAGAGAAAAGAGUUUUUAGGGAAGACUUUUGAAAAUCCUUUUGAAGAUGUCUCAUAAUAUCUGCAAAGAAGGGCUACGCUCCGAUACCAGCUGUGACGGAACCUCCCAAGUAAUUAGGCCCACCUAUAGUUGUCCUUGUCUAACAGACAUCAGACACCCUGUAGAUGUUCCUAAGUCACUUGACAAGCUCGGUAUCUUUCCUUACCUUACCAGGAACGUUUCACCCGUCUUGCAGACAUUACAGAACAUCGGAGAUAUAGAAAUGCGGAAGCAAUUAUAUAAACUUACAUUUAUUUAGAAAGUAAGAUCAAGUUAUUUAUUACAGACCAGAGUUAUAAAACGAGUGCAGGGUAGUAUUAUUACACAUACCAGGGGAGGCAAAAACUCCUCCCGAUAACUAUCAAACAAAGGUUCUUAUGGAGGACCACGUCCUCCCGCAUCUUCACUCUUGUUUUUCUUCAUUUGGUACCACCUUGGAGCAAAAGCAACAAAAAUUUGUCGCUUCCUCACCUAAAAACAACAAAGGGAUAAACCCUGAGUAUGGAAUUACUCAGCAAGUCUUACCCGACUAAGGAAAACACUCUCAAGGGUAUGCUGGGUAAAUAGGAGUCAAGGAGAGGCUUUAGCAAAAAUCAACUUAUACUUUUGCAGAAGUAGCUUACUAAAGUGAGUCCUUACUUUCAAUCUUUUAACGCCAUAUUAAGUAUUAAUAGACUCUAUUUGCAUCUAGUCUAAUUUCAACAUCUCAUCAAUACAACAUUAUUUUUAUCCAUAGUGUUCACAUCCUGACUUUAGGUUGCAGGGAAGUGACCAAGUCUUCAUAACCGCGAAGGUACGGCGAUCCGAAUCGAUUAUACUCAGCUGAGGAUCUCCAAUCACACGACAUAUGUAGCACUUAACCCUUGCAUAUGUCAACCCGCCACCGGGGUUCUUAAGACCAGAUCAGGUUCACGCAAACCGAGAGCACAGAUACACCACCGUCCAGCCUCUUGCCACGGAGGGUACACGCUACUCUCGCCACCGCUCCACGCCCAUUUCGUGUUAUCUUAUUCUGGCCUUAGUCUGCCCGAGGCAAGGCUUACCCAUGACGAGGCAUGUGACCAGUUAAAGGGUCCUCGGUCAGCACGCCUACAUACGCAUUAAUCCUUAACCAACCUGGGUAGAACAUCACCUGUUCCUAACCCAAGUCUCAAUUUAAGUAUUUCCAUCCUUAGGAUUGUGUCUGUUCCUUAGGAUGAAAGAGCAUCACAGGGAACUUUGCAGUAAGAUCCCACUAUUGCUCCAAAUGAAAAUAUUCUUGCAGGUAGAAGCCAUCCUCUCCCGGGUUAGACUGAGGACAACCUCUAUCCACAAGGUCUAAGCAAGGCUAAGCAUUUUUGUAAAUCAUAUUUUGAUACUUCACAGAAGUAUCUAUAAAGGUAUGGAUAUCAAGGAAAUCAAUGCAUUAAAGGGUUCCAAGCAACUCCUAUGAACCUAAUGCACAUUUCACUAGACUUAAAGUGUGCGAAAAGUAUUUAAAACACAAGGAAAGGGGUUGCAUGCACCGGGGCUUGCCUUCGUUCACAGGUGAGUCAGGCUCGGAUCCGCAGAUGUCGAAGUAGAGCCAAGUCCCUGCCUGAGAAUCCAAAGGUGGUGGUGUCUUCUCUUCAGUCACUUCACUCUCUUCUUCGUUUUCUAAAUAUAACCAUAUAGGUAUAUAAAUAAGAAUGAAUGCCAUGUAAUGCUUAUGAGAGUGCAUAGAUAAUAAAGGUUUAUUAACUAAGUUUUGAAUACAACAUUCCUUCACGGAACUCCGAGAACUUAGGGUUUCCGGAGUUAGUAAAGGAGUUCAAAGGGUAGGGGGUAGGGUUUUGGGUUCUAGUUAUCAAACAAGGUCCAAAUCAAACCAAAUCCUACCCAAGGCUUCUAAAUAUUAUUUUAAGCUCAUAUAAAAAGUUUGGGCAUUUUUGGAAUUAUUAUUGAUUUUCUAAAAAUCCAGACACAAGGUUUUAUGCUAUUUUAAAUACUCCAAAAUUCCCUAUUUGAUCUAAAAAUCAUAAAACUAUUUUUAUUAAAUUCUAUGGAAAAUUAGGAAUCUGACAAAAUUGGUUUGACAUUUUUACCAUUUUUCAGAAAUUUUCUAUGGAUUUCUAAAGCUGAUUGGAAAAAGAAAAGGAAAAACUACUAACAGUGUUGGGCCCAAACCGCUGGCGUGGUCCAACAACCAGGCAAAGCUGGCGCAAACCCGGGAGCCCGCGCCCGCUUUGGCCAGCUUGCACAAAGGACCUUGCGCUCUGGUUAAAACAAUCAGAGCUCCCAACCACUGUUGCUUGUGUCUCUGACAUCCUCGCUAAAACCCCUUGGCUUCCACUUAUUUACAAGCACUCGGCCCCGACAUCGCCCGUACGAACUCCGGCGACCCAGCGCCAGCUCGGCCAUGGUGGCGCAACACCGGCGACGGCGAUGGUACCCACGCGAACCCCGAAUCGCAGUGAACUCGGGUAUGGGCUCAAUCGAUCCAUGAGAACUCCACAACCCAUUUAUCGGCAGCGACGGCGGAGCACUGGAUCCGACGAACUCUAUUCCCCGAUCACCGCACGGUAGUGUUCAAACAAACGGGCCAGGGAGCUUUAGAGACCACUUAAGUCUACGGUGCGCGCGCGCAAUCGCUCGGGAAUGGCGCGGUUAAUACGGUCCACACCGAGGCUGUCCUCGGUGCCCGACCGCGACGGCGCGACCGUGUUCUACUCAACGUAUGGCGGUAGAGCUUGAACAAACCACUUGAUCAGCUUCACUGACCAAUACAGAUCAUGGAACACAAGCCACACGGGUGAGAAACUUUCUGAGCAUACCUGGCCACGGUAAAGUGGAAGAUCUGCAGGUGUGGUCACCAGACACAUUCAGUGCCUUGAUCGAUGGAAUUGGGCGCGUCCAGGGUAUGAUUUGGGGAAGGAAGAGCAAUACUGCUGACUGAAGCUACUCACUACGGUUGAUGAUCGAGGCACGGAUCACUGCACUGGCUUCUGCUUUCUUUCCCUCACCCUGUUGCUCUUUAUAUAGGCAGGGAAAAUAUCAAGGGACUGGAUUCUUGAGUUUACAGGGGGGAUAACUAUGUGCAUGGGGUGCAGUCGUGGCUUACUCAAGGAAGCCCACGCCGGUGCUGCAGGGUGAAGAUUAUCCAGGGCAAGGGAGGGAGGUGAAGAUAGGAUGGCACUGUUCUGGAUAUUUGCACAGGUGAUAUUUCAGUGAUGAACAAAUCUGAAUACCCCUGCCAGCACUCCAUCCCAAUCUUCAUCCUAUUCCAAAGUUGGUCACGGCAAGAAAAACUGAACUUGGUCACUUCUAGCAGCCAAAUAUCUGAUUUGUCCCUUUCUGUAGACAGUAAACCAACAGAUAAGAAUUCUAGUGUGUGCAGACUUAAAUGGAUCCAAACUGAUAUUUCUAAAGGGAUGAAGCCACUAGAACUGCUGCUGUCCAGCAUACCCCAUUAAAGAUUCAUUAGAUGAGGACCCCCUCUCAUUCACUGCUCACAAAAUAGGUCAAAAUUUGGAUAUUUUUUUA